This 391-nucleotide ribosomal RNA is filed under the name Streptomyces sp. MBT1. RNAcentral's name for it is "bacterial SSU rRNA". It matches the Rfam family "Bacterial small subunit ribosomal RNA", at positions 112 to 516 of the family's 1533-position model. Lineage: Bacteria; Bacillati; Actinomycetota; Actinomycetes; Kitasatosporales; Streptomycetaceae. The record is from RNAcentral.
UACACGUGGGCAAUCUGCCCUGCACUCUGGGACAAGCCCUGGAAACGGGGUCUAAUACCGGAUACUGAUCCUCGCAGGCAUCUGCGAGGUUCGAAAGCUCCGGCGGUGCAGGAUGAGCCCGCGGCCUAUCAGCUAGUUGGUGAGGUAACGGCUCACCAAGGCGACGACGGGUAGCCGGCCUGAGAGGGCGACCGGCCACACUGGGACUGAGACACGGCCCAGACUCCUACGGGAGGCAGCAGUGGGGAAUAUUGCACAAUGGGCGAAAGCCUGAUGCAGCGACGCCGCGUGAGGGAUGACGGCCUUCGGGUUGUAAACCUCUUUCAGCAGGGAAGAAGCGAAAGUGACGGUACCUGCAGAAGAAGCGCCGGCUAACUACGUGCCAGCAGCC